Cinara cedri is the source of this 234-nucleotide non-coding RNA. NCBI's taxonomy places the organism in Eukaryota, Metazoa, Arthropoda, Insecta, Hemiptera, Aphididae. The record is from the annotation of a GenBank genome assembly.
AGGCUGAAAAAGUACAAACUAUAUAUAUUACUAGCAUUUUAAUUCUGAGCUCCUUACUAUUGUUUUUAAAUAAGGUAAUUACCAAGUCCAAAUUUUAAAAUGAAAACACUAACUCUUAGUACAUAAACAAAGCAAAAUUUUUAAUUUGUAUAGUAAAUACAUACUGGUAUGAUAACCUAAAUUUAAUUUUAGAAACAUCUGCUACAUCAUAUGUAAAAUCUUUAUUAUAUAUCA